AGGCGGAGGAGCAGAAGGAGCAGGUCAAGUUGCAGUCCUUCGCUGUGGACGUCAGAGAUCCUGAGGGAAGCAGCAAUCCAUCUAGCCCCCAUCAGGAGCUGUUUUUCAGGAGGAUGUCUAAGGCAGAUCCAAGUCAGGACACCUCAGGAGGGAAGACUCGAACAAAGUUGUCUGGUCUUUCUGGUGGAGCUGCAACAGUGGCUGAACCUCCAGCUCAAGACAGUCUUGUGUCCUUCGAGGAGGUGGCUGUGUA
This is a non-coding RNA of Python bivittatus (Burmese python), 253 nucleotides long. NCBI's taxonomy places the organism in Eukaryota, Metazoa, Chordata, Lepidosauria, Squamata, Pythonidae. The record is from RefSeq and is a predicted model, not a curated record.